RNAcentral lists this long non-coding RNA (500 nucleotides) under Junco hyemalis (dark-eyed junco). Its description in RNAcentral is "lncRNA (ENSJHYG00000010470.1)". The record is from RNAcentral. Lineage: Eukaryota; Metazoa; Chordata; Aves; Passeriformes; Passerellidae.
UCCAUUCCUAUCAAAAUACCCCUUUGCUCUUAGGCACAUCUAGUAGAAAAAAAUGGUGAAUAAAAUGAAAUGUUAUAGUGAAACACACUUUCUUCUCCAUCUAGAGACACUUCCUCCCCACUUUCACGGGGGUGUUGGGUAGCUGUGGGUUAGUAUACAAGCUGCCCUAUUUGCAUUUUUUUUUUAAGCUAUGCCACUGUGACCUCUACUGUCUGACAUCCUCCAUUUCUGAUUUUCCAACUGCACGAAGAUAUUUUGGCUGUCUUUUUUUGUGUCAUACAUCUAGAUGGAUGAGAGCAUUAGAGACUAAAGAACAGAUCUCAAAUCCUGCACAUCACGUAGACCACUCCCUUGAUUGUCAUCACUUACUCUAUUGCAAGCUUUGUAACAUGAUGGAACCAAAGAAAUCUCUCUUCUACCAGACAGUAAGAACCUAGGUUGCUGGGACAACAUGUCAACUGCAAAAAAACCCCUUAAAAUAAAGGUGGCUCAUUUCCAAG